GCGUCGGUGGUGCAACGGUUUAGCACACGCUCCCAAAAGGAGUGAGAUCUGGAUUCGAAUCCCGGUAGACGCA
Parelaphostrongylus tenuis is the source of this 73-nucleotide non-coding RNA. The record is from the annotation of a GenBank genome assembly. Lineage: Eukaryota; Metazoa; Nematoda; Chromadorea; Rhabditida; Metastrongylidae.